CAGCCGCCGCGGUAAUACGAAGGGCGCAAGCGUUAAUCGGAAUUACUGGGCGUAAAGCGUGCGUAGGCGGUUUCUUAAGUCUGCUGUGAAAUCCCCGGGCUCAACCUGGGAAUGGCAGUGGAUACUGGGAGGCUAGAGUGUGUCAGAGGAUGGUGGAAUUCCCGGUGUAGCGGUGAAAUGCGUAGAGAUCGGGAGGAACAUCAGUGGCGAAGGCGGCCAUCUGGGACAACACUGACGCUGAGGCACGAAAGCGUGGGGAGCAAACAGGAUUAGAUACCCCUGUAGUCCCUGUCUCUUAUAC
This 301-nucleotide ribosomal RNA is filed under the name uncultured bacterium. RNAcentral describes it as "partial 16S ribosomal RNA". It matches the Rfam family "Bacterial small subunit ribosomal RNA", at positions 509 to 807 of the family's 1533-position model. The record is from RNAcentral.